CGGCAAUGCCAUCUACCCAGGCACAGGCCUCUUCCAACAUACAGCUCUCACUGUCCACACUGCACACAGGCCAUGCCUUCUACACCAGGGACAGGCCUCUCCCAACACACAGCUCUCACUGUCCGCACUGCACACAGGCCACGCCU
This is a long non-coding RNA of Sapajus apella (tufted capuchin), 146 nucleotides long. RefSeq lists it as uncharacterized. The record is from RefSeq and is a predicted model, not a curated record. Lineage: Eukaryota; Metazoa; Chordata; Mammalia; Primates; Cebidae. The transcript is spliced from 3 exons.